CGCCGCUCGAGUCGGUUUCGUUCUGCGCUCGCCUGGGGUAGCGACGGGACGGAGGCUACGGUGCUGCGCUCGGGUCCUGCACGAUGUCUCCCGCGGUGUGGGGGCUGGCGCUGGCCGCGCUGCUGGUGCUGAGCCGCGAUUGGGGCUGCGCGCAGGUGGCCGGGACCAGCGGGGCGCGGAAGCCCAGCGUGGUGCUGAUCCUCACCGAUGACCAGGAUGUCUGCCUGGGCGGCAUGACACCGCUAAAGAAGACCAGUGCCCUUAUUGCAGAUAUGGGGAUAAGCUUCUCAAAUGCAUAUGUGCCCAGUGCAUUGUGCUGUCCCAGCAGAGCUAGUAUCUUAACAGGGAAGUACCCACAUAAUCAUCAUGUUGUCAAUAACACUCUGGAGGGAAACUGCAGCAGCAAAUCAUGGCAGAAAAUACAGGAACCAUAUACUUUCCCAGCUCUCCUCAAGUCCAUGUGUGGCUAUCAAACAUUCUUUGCUGGGAAGUAUUUAAAUGAGUAUGGAGCAGAAGAUGCAGGGGGAAUAGGCCAUGUUCCUCCUGGAUGGAGUUUUUGGUAUGCUUUGGAAAAAAAUUCAAAAUACUAUAAUUACACUCUUUCAGUAAAUGGAAAAGCACGAAGGCAUGGUGAGAAUUACAGUGCAGAUUACCUGACAGAUGUACUGGCUAAUAUGUCCUUGGAUUUCUUGGAAUAUAAAUCUAACUUUGAACCCUUCUUCAUGAUGAUCUCCACUCCAGCACCACACUCUCCCUGGAUACCUGCUCCUCAAUAUAAAAAGAGCUUCCAGAAUGUCAGUGCACCAAGAAAUGGCAAUUUUAACAUUCAUGGAAAGGACAAGCAUUGGCUAAUCAGGCAAGCAAAGACUCCAAUGACUAAUUCUUCAAUACAGUUUCUAGACGAUGCUUUUAGAAAAAGAUGGCAAACACUACUGUCAGUAGAUGAUCUGAUAGAGAAACUGGUGAAGAAACUGGAAUUGCUUGGAGAGCUAGAUAAUACUUACAUUUUUUAUACCUCAGACAAUGGCUUCCAUACUGGACAAUUUUCUUUGCCAAUAGACAAACGGCAGCUCUAUGAGUUUGACAUUAAAGUUCCAUUGCUAGUUCGAGGACCAGGCAUCAAACCAAACCAGACAAACAAGAUGCUGGUUGCAAACAUUGAUUUGGGUCCCACUAUUUUGGAUAUCGCAGGGUUUGACAUAAACAAGACACAGAUGGAUGGGAUGUCACUGUUGCCGCUUCUGAGAGGAGACAAAAAUGUGACCUGGAGAUCAGAUGUCUUGAUUGAGUACCAAGGAGAAGGACAUAACAGCAGCGAUCCUACCUGCCCUGCCCUGGGACCUGGUGUUACUCAUUGUUUUCCAGACUGUGUGUGUGAAGAUUCGUAUAACAAUACAUAUGCUUGUGUGAGGACACUGUCAACUUCUUGGGAUCUGCAGUACUGUGAAUUUGAUGACCGGGAGGUGUUUGUUGAAGUCUACAAUUUGACUGCAGACCCACACCAGCUUACUAACAUUGCUAAAACAAUAGAUCAAGAAAUUUUAGAGAAGAUGAACUAUCGACUAAUGAUGUUGCAGUCCUGCUCAGGAGCAACUUGUCGCACACCAGGCGUCUUUGACCCAGGGUACAGAUUUGACCCACGCCUAAUGUUCAGUCAUGGUAUUUGGGCUCACAAACUUUCCACACGGUCUCUGUAACAGCAUUUAUCAGCCUCUUCAGUUGGCUUCCUGUGUUCAUUUCUUCAGAGGGACACCAGCAGAAACCAAAAAGUACAUCCCAUUUGACAGCUUCUUGAAUCUGGUAAAAGCAACACUUAUGAACAUGGUAUUGACUACAUUUUACUUCAGUAUUGACAAACUUGACCAGCUGCUACUCAUCCUUCUUCCUUGUGUGACUUCCAACAGGAGGUAAACUUGAUUCCAUCCAUAAUCAUAUGGUGAACAGAUUUAAUUUUGCCUCCCAAAUCAGAAGAUAUUUAUUGUUGAUCCAGAGGCAUUAGAGAUGCCUGGGGAAAACUAACAGCUGCUGAAAAGGACCCUAAAACUAAGGGAACAUAUGAGAUGCUGUUUCUCUGAAUGCAUAUUACAACAGCCCACUACUUUCAGUCUCCUCCCAUUAAAUUACUUGGAUCCUUUGAAAUAUUCCAUUUUCUUUAUCUACCAUAAUUAUGAUUUUCAACUUAUUUUCUCCUCCAUUCACCAAAACAUCUUAUCCCACUUCAAUGUCUUUGAGCCUCUGGUCUCUUCUACAAACACCUCUCCUUCCUAAUCAGUGUGUUCCCUGGCAUCUUACCUUUUUCCUUACCCAUCUGUUAGGUCCUGCAACGAGUUUUUGCUCCUAUUCUUUGACCAAGCCAAAAGUGAUCUAAACGCUCAUUUAACAAUAUUCGUCUAACACUAGUACACUUAGAUUUGUGUUCUGCUUUUUAGUUAAACUUGCUGGGGGCUGUACUUAAUUGUAGGUUGUGAAGGGUCUGGUGAGAAAAAUCUUCAGUCAGUGAUGUAUGCAUUAAACUUUGAGCAUCUAUGUCCAAACUAUUCUAGCUGGUCAUAGAAUUGAAGUUCCAGUGUGUAUGUUUACUAAGUGUCAGCAAUGCAAUGGUUGUCAUUGUCUGCAACAUUGUGGUGGUGGUGGUCUUAAGUAGACAUUUCUCUUUUUGUAGAAAAAGCUAGUAUAUAUUCAUGACCAAAAGUAUAAUUUGAUAUAACCAUGUUUCCUGAUAUGGCAUACUUGGGUAGCGUGAAGAAUUUUACUCUUUAAUGAUAACUAUGUAUCUUGCAUAUUCUACCUCUACAGUUCAUUGACAUGGAAAUUGAUUAUGUAGAAUAUCCAGUAAGUCUGAUCAGUGGGAAGAAUUUCACCCUAAUUUAACAUGUUGUUAGUAUUUUCAUGCAGAAAACAUACCGGUCAGUCAUUUCAGUUGCAGCCAGACUUGUUCCCUUACAUUGCCUUUUUCUCAACUGACCAUGAGUCUACCACACCCACAUCUGAAGUCUGCCAGUUAAGAAAUAAUGAUUUACCACAGAAAACCUUCACCUCACUACAUUCUACUCAUCAGUCCUGCUGUGACUUAGCAAAAAUGCAAACACUUCUGAAGAAACGUGCACUGGAAGUGCAUUUUAAGCUUAGCUGAAGGAAGAACAGUAACAAUCAACUGCUGCCCUGUUUUUGUUCUGAUUUAACUGUUCAGUGUUUUUUCACAGGAUGCAAUAAAUCCUAUGGAUAUUUUCACACUCCUGAAUGGUCAAUAUUCACUUUUUCUUGAUAACUGGAAUAGCAUAUUAUUUCAGUUACCUUACAGCUAGAUCGAAUUCCAGAACACAAGUGGUUCAAAAAUUGAGCCUUCCUAUGUUCCAUUCAAUAACUGGUUGAACAUGGCUGUGUCCACUUGCACCUUAUUACUUGAGCCAUUUAAUUGUUGAAAAUGAAUAGAAGCCUUACUAAGUACUAGUCUCUUUCAUAUAAAAUGUGAUUACAGGUCAUUUUUAAAUGUAAACUCUGUUUCUCAUGAUAGUCUAAUCUGAUUAAGCAGAUACUGUAUUCUGCAAAACAUUGCAGAAGCAAAACUGUUGCAUCUAUUAACACAAAUAUCCUUACUCACUUAACUGAAAAUAUUGUCGCUUUAGCAUGAGUGAAGAUAAGUGCUUAUAGGGCCAGAGAAUUGACUUCUUGUAUGUCAGGGAGUAAAUGUUGCUUUCACAGAUUGUCCCCUAGAGUGCUGAUCUUAAAUCAUCUAUAGUAGGGGCAGUAGUCUCAAAGACUAAAAUAACUUGGUAAAGUCUAAAUCUCUUUAAAUUGAUCCACUACACAAGGCAAAUACAGACAUUUGGUUGUAAUGCUGCUGAAUCAAUGAAGAUGGCUGUUAAAUUAUUUUUUAAUGUGCAACUUUAUAUGUAUUCCUAAUUUGUUCUUUUUGUACAGUGUCUGACUGUACUUCACUGUGGACUUACUAAUUUCUGCUCUCUGUUGUACCAUAACUGUUUUGUUUAGAAAGUGCCCUUCAAAGGACCCUGUUCACUGCUGCACCUUUUGAAAAUAAAAAUUGUCUACUAUAAACCUCUCUCAUACCUUUUUAUGGUGAACUGAAAUUGUGAACAUCUUGAAGGGA
RNA transcript from Terrapene triunguis (Three-toed box turtle), 4108 nucleotides. It is a transcript of the gene named glucosamine (N-acetyl)-6-sulfatase, with no coding region annotated. Lineage: Eukaryota; Metazoa; Chordata; Testudines; Emydidae. The record is from RefSeq and is a predicted model, not a curated record. The transcript has 15 exons.